UGAGGAAUAUUGGACAAUGGGCGCAAGCCUGAUCCAGCCAUGCUGCGUGCAGGAUGACGGUCCUAUGGAUUGUAAACUGCUUUUGUACAGGAAGAAACAGUUCUACGUGUAGAACCUUGACGGUACUGUAAGAAUAAGGAUCGGCUAACUCCGUGCCAGCAGCCGCAGUAAUACGGAGGAUCCAAGCGUUAUCCGGAAUCAUUGGGUUUAAAGGGUCCGUAGGCGGUUAGAUAAGUCAGUGGUGAAAGCCCAUCGCUCAACGGUGGAACGGCCAUUGAUACUGUCUGACUUGAAUUAUUAGGAAGUAACUAGAAUAUGUAGUGUAGCGGUGAAAUGCUUAGAGAUUACAUGGAAUACCAAUUGCGAAGGCAGGUUACUACUAAUGGAUUGACGCUGAUGGACGAAAGCGUGGGUAGCGAACAGGAUUAGAUACCCCAGUAGUCCCUGAGCGGGCUGGCAAGGCGCAU
RNAcentral lists this ribosomal RNA (467 nucleotides) under uncultured bacterium. RNAcentral describes it as "bacterial SSU rRNA". It matches the Rfam family "Bacterial small subunit ribosomal RNA", at positions 355 to 825 of the family's 1533-position model. The record is from RNAcentral.